RNAcentral lists this small RNA (230 nucleotides) under Marmota monax (woodchuck). Lineage: Eukaryota; Metazoa; Chordata; Mammalia; Rodentia; Sciuridae. The record is from RNAcentral.
UGUCAGAGAUUUCCAAAAAAAAUUUGGAAGAAAAAUGAAAUGUUCUAAAAUUUUAUAAAUUAACUUAUGAAGUUUCUUUAUAAAUGGGAAAGUAUUCACUAGUGUGUGUGUGUGUGUGUGUGUGUGUGUGUGUGUAAGAAAACAUCUUGGUCAAGCUCAUAGGCUCUCAUUCUCCUACUUCUCCUUCAAGUUGGGGGACUCCAUGCAGUGGGCCAGUUGGAUCAGGACAU